Molecule: ribosomal RNA, 517 nt
Filed under: Bacteria ferula
Lineage: Eukaryota; Metazoa; Arthropoda; Insecta; Phasmatodea; Diapheromeridae
Description: partial 16S ribosomal RNA
Rfam family: Bacterial large subunit ribosomal RNA
Source: RNAcentral
AAACAUCUUUUCCUGUAAUUUUUAUGAAAUUUGUCCUGCCCAAUGAAGUUUUAAUGGCCGCAGUAUUUUGACUGUGCAAAGGUAGCAUAAUCAUUAGUCUAUUAAUUGUAGACUUGUAUGAAUGGUUUGACGAAGCAUUAACUGUCUCAUUUUAAAAAUUUAAAUUUAAAUUUUAAGUUAAAAUGCUUAAUUUUUUUUGAAGGACGAGAAGACCCUAUAGAUCUUUAAUUUUUAUGAUUUAUUUGUUUUGGCUUAUUUUUAAGGUAAGUUUGAUUGAUUUUUCGUUGGGGUGACGUUGAGAUAUAAUUAACUCUUAUUAUUACUUUACAAUUAUUUUUGAUUCUUUGAUCUUUUAUUAUGGUUUAUAAGAUAUAGAUACCUUAGGGAUAACAGCGUAAUCAUAUUUGAGAGUUCAUAUCGACAAUAUGGGUUGCGACCUCGAUGUUGGAUUAAGAUUACUUUUAGGUGUAGAAGCUUAUUUAGUAGGUCUGUUCGACCUUUAAUUUCUUACAUGAUC